RNAcentral lists this long non-coding RNA (1781 nucleotides) under Cucumis sativus (cucumber). RNAcentral describes it as "long non-coding RNA (CSAT_LNC002724)". Lineage: Eukaryota; Viridiplantae; Streptophyta; Magnoliopsida; Cucurbitales; Cucurbitaceae. The record is from RNAcentral.
CCUUAGUUUACACAAAAUAUCAAAUUCAAAUAAAAUCAAACUCUCAAGGAAAACAAAAUUUAAAUUUGGGCUCUAUUUAAAAUAACAAAAAAAAGAAAAAAAGAACUUUCAAGGAAAGGCUUACAAAUCGUUAGUUCGUGAAUUCAGUUAACCCACAAAGUUUUCUAAACAGUCUCGAGUACUAAAACGUAAUAAGAAAAUAAAACAUUAAGCGGAAGCAAAUUAAAAUAUCCCCUAUGACAAUCACGUUUCCUUUCUGCCCCUCGCCGGUUUGCCUCCCUUGUUACCUUUGCCUCUCCCUUAUUACCUUUGCCUGAAAAAGUUAAACAUAAAAGGGGUGAGUAUAAAUAUACCCAGUAAAAGACCCGCUACUGGUCCCAUUAGGGGAAAAAUAAAUUAUUAACUUCCUAUGGAGUACCUUGCACAGUCACAGACUUGUGAUCCAAUAGGAUACACAUAAUCAGUCUAACACCCCGAAGGACGCAUAAAACAGUCUAGUGUUCUGCAGAAACACAUAUCAGUCUAGUGCUCCCAAAGGAUGCACAUAUCAGUCUAGUGCUCUCAAAAGAUGCACAUAAAGGGUGAUAAUCCUAUAGGACACCUGCAGGGUAACUACCCAAUAGGAAACUAAUAAUUUUUUCCCUAAGUCCAUUCUAAACAUCUUAUCAGUCAAUCAUAAUACAGUCAAAUUACCUGAACACAUGAUCCCUUCACUUAAUACCCUAACAGUCAACUUAGUGCAUUUUAGCCCAAGUCAGUCAGUAACAUAUCAACACAUCAGUCAAACAAACUAAGUAAUCAUAACAUCCCCUUAGUUCACUAGCACACAACCAUACUUGAUAUAACUUACACCCGGUCCACAUGACAGCCAACAAGUUCACAUUCACAUAUUAUAUAAGCAACAUCCACAAUUUGCAGUCAUUUCACAUCCAAAAGUGUAUAUAUAUCACAACUGACGUACAAUCUCAAUUUAGUGAUAACAUACCGUCAACAUAUUCUACUUUAUAGGUGAGUCCAGUAGUAGAAAAUCUCUUACCUCAAGGUUCCUCAAUUUCUCGAACAACUAUAUCCAACGAAAGACACCUAACCAUAAGAAUAAAAUAACUCAAUUAUUUCCACAAAACAACUCCCACCUAAUUUCCUCAAGGCAAAAAUUUAGCUUACCAAGGUAUUGGCGAACCAAGCUCAAAAUUCACAAAUUGGUUGUGAAUUCAAGUGACCCAACAUUAUUGCCAACACCUUCAAGAAUCAAAUAACAAAUUAAUCAACUAUUCCAACCAUAACGUUUGAACACUUAAAACAAUUACAAUCCAUAACCUAAAUUAUUACCAAUAAAACAACUUUGACGAUUCACAGACGAAAGAAGCAGCGACUAUCGAUCCCAAUGAAAAUAAUCGUGCAAACUUAUCUGAGUGUAAGCUGGCUUGUAACUCACAGUUGGAAGUCGAAAAGUCGUGGCGGCGCGGGGCAUUGGGCGGACGGUUGAUGAAGCGAGCGGCGACUUCAUGAAUCGGGACAAACGAAGACGGAAUGAAAAAACUAAGCGACGACGCUUCGACUUUAGCCCGACGAACGGUGGCGUGCACGGCCGCUGGGCUUUGUCAGACAGAAAAGAAGAAGAUGGUGGCAGAACGUUUCAGCUUCGACAGAGACAGCACCGAUGACGGCGGUGGCUACCGAAGACAUUGCUUUGUGGCGUGACUGGCCGAAACAGGAGAAUGGGGGAAAGAUUUUGGAGGCAGGCGGUGACUGGGUAAAGAAGAGAUGAGGCGAGGGGGGGG